Molecule: long non-coding RNA, 525 nt
Filed under: Homo sapiens (human)
Lineage: Eukaryota; Metazoa; Chordata; Mammalia; Primates; Hominidae
Description: HSALNT0297863
Source: RNAcentral
CUGGCAGUCACAGGCCUCACCCCUCUCCCACACAGCCCUCAGUCCUAAAGGCUGGUCUCACUCCCAUCCUGCCACGCAACAGCACAGGGUCUAUUUCGAGACAGCCAGUGACCAGGGCUGAGAACUUGCCCCAGACCACCAGCCUCCUCACUGAGAAAGCAAGCAGAAUCACAGUUUUUUGGAAUCUCAGGGAGCCUUCAGCGGCAAUCCAGUUCCUUCAAAGGGUCUGUGGAUUCUCUCAGUUUUCAUGGCUGGAUCCCUGAACGCUAACUGACAUCCUGCUUUUCUUAAGGGAUAUGGAAAUUUCCCUGGGACAGCUGUGCUCUGCUGGCUAAGGAGCCCACAAGGUUAAUGAACACCCACAAAGACUGAGGAGGAUAGAGAGCAUUCUUCACUGGAUGAUUAGCAUGCCAGCAUUCUUUCCUCUGUGGUAAUGAUGGUCAAGAAGGUGCCUGGUGAUAGAAGGGAGAAUGAAGGGUUGCUGCUUCUGCCUCAAACGCUUAUUAAAAUUCAUUUCCAUUCAAA